CUGGUAGUCCACGCCGUAAACGAUGUCUACUUGGAGGUUGUGGCCUUGAGCCGUGGCUUUCGGAGCUAACCGCGUUAAGUAGACCCGCCUGGGGAGUACGGUCGCAAGAUUAAAACUCAAAUGAAUUGACGGGGGCCCGCACAAGCGGUGGAGCAUGUGGUUUAAUUCGAUGCAACGCGAAGAACCUUACCUACUCUUGACAUCCAGAGAACUUUCCAGAGAUGGAUUGGUGCCUUCGGGAACUCUGAGACAGGUGCUGCAUGGCUGUCGUCAGCUCGUGUUGUGAAAUGUUGGGUUAAGUCCCGCAACGAGCGCAACCCUUAUCCUUGUUUGCCAGCACUUCGGGUGGGAACUCCAGGGAGACUGCCGGUGAUAAACCGGAGGAAGGUGGGGACGACGUCAAGUCAUCAUGGCCCUUACGAGUAGGGCUACACACGUGCUACAAUGGCGCAUACAGAGGGCNGCCAACUUGCGAGAGUGAGCGAAUCCCAAAAAGUGCGUCGUAGUCCGGAUUGGAGUCUGCAACUCGACUCCAUGAAGUCGGAAUCGCUAGUAAUCGUAGAUCAGAAUGCUACGGUGAAUACGUUCCCGGGCCUUGUACACACCGCCCGUCACACCAUGGGAGUGGGCUGCAAAAGAAGUGGGUAGUUUAACCUUCGGGAGGACGCUCACCACU
This 676-nucleotide ribosomal RNA is filed under the name bacterium S1cc26. Its description in RNAcentral is "bacterial SSU rRNA". It matches the Rfam family "Bacterial small subunit ribosomal RNA", at positions 787 to 1461 of the family's 1533-position model. The record is from RNAcentral.